RNAcentral lists this ribosomal RNA (253 nucleotides) under uncultured bacterium. Its description in RNAcentral is "partial 16S ribosomal RNA". It matches the Rfam family "Bacterial small subunit ribosomal RNA", at positions 524 to 776 of the family's 1533-position model. The record is from RNAcentral.
UACGAAGGGGGCUAGCGUUGCUCGGAAUUACUGGGCGUAAAGGGCGCGUAGGCGGACAGUUUAGUUGGGGGUGAAAGCCCGGGGCUCAACCUCGGAAUUGCCUUCAAUACUGGCUGUCUUGAGUACGGGAGAGGUGUGUGGAACUCCGAGUGUAGAGGUGAAAUUCGUAGAUAUUCGGAAGAACACCAGUGGCGAAGGCGACACACUGGCCCGUUACUGACGCUGAGGCGCGAAAGCGUGGGGAGCAAACAGG